GCUCGUGAUCAAAUGAUACAAUUGUUACAAAGAUAAUAAUUGUACUGAGUAUAGAUCAUUGUAUACCAUAUUAGUUGGUUGUUCUCUUAACCAAAAUGUACGGUGACACGGGUAUGGCAUAUGGGUGAUAUGUAGGAGUAUAUUUCACUGAGCGUGAUGACCUCUGGAGUACUUUGUUGUCAAGGACUGCUCUGAUGGG
This 199-nucleotide long non-coding RNA is filed under the name Elaeis guineensis (African oil palm). Its description in RNAcentral is "long non-coding RNA (EGUI_LNC046623)". The record is from RNAcentral. Lineage: Eukaryota; Viridiplantae; Streptophyta; Magnoliopsida; Arecales; Arecaceae.